Molecule: non-coding RNA, 107 nt
Organism: Hygrophoropsis aurantiaca
Lineage: Eukaryota; Fungi; Basidiomycota; Agaricomycetes; Boletales; Hygrophoropsidaceae
Source: the annotation of a GenBank genome assembly
GGCAAGAUGGCCGAGCGGUCCAAGGCGUGUGACUCAAGCGAAAGCUUGCCCGUAUUGCGGGUUCUCAUCUGGGUUUCCAGGCGGGGGUUCGAAUCCCCCUCUUGUCA